RNAcentral lists this ribosomal RNA (301 nucleotides) under uncultured bacterium. RNAcentral describes it as "partial 16S ribosomal RNA". It matches the Rfam family "Bacterial small subunit ribosomal RNA", at positions 509 to 809 of the family's 1533-position model. The record is from RNAcentral.
CAGUAGCCGCGGUAAUACGAGGGGGGCAAGCGUUGUUCGGAUUUAUUGGGCGUAAAGGGUGCGUAGGCGGUUUGGCAAGUCUUGUGUGAAACCUAUGGGCUCAACCCAUAGUCUGCACGGGAAACUGCCGGGCUUGAGAAUGGGAGAGGUGAGUGGAAUUCCCAGUGUAGAGGUGAAAUUCGUAGAUAUUGGGAAGAACACCAGCGGCGAAGGCGGCUCACUGGACCGACACUGACGCUGAGGCGCGAAAGCGUGGGGAGCAAACAGGAUUAGAUACCCGCGUAGUCCCUGUCUCUUAUAA